This 835-nucleotide long non-coding RNA is filed under the name Heterocephalus glaber (naked mole-rat). Its description in RNAcentral is "lncRNA (ENSHGLG00100046771.1)". The record is from RNAcentral. Lineage: Eukaryota; Metazoa; Chordata; Mammalia; Rodentia; Bathyergidae.
CCUCCCUUCUAGAGCCCCCGGUUCCUUAGAAACCAGGCGGCGUGUUCACGGUGUCGGGACGCUAGAUUACGGUGGCUGCUCAAGCCCGCUAGUCUCCUUUAAGGCGGACGGGUGGCCUCCGAAACCCGUCCCGACCCAUGGUCUCCGGUGCGGCGCGGAGCGGGCAAUGCCAGCGUGCCAGGGUCUCACUAUGCCCUUCAGACUGGCCUUGAACUCACUGCGUAGCUCGGCUGGCUACAAACUUUGGGUGAUCCUCCUGUCUCUUGAGUGCUGGGAUUACAGGCAUGCACUACCGCACCCAGGGUGAGCCCUUUUUUUUAUUUUGACACAAGGUCUCACUAAAAUUGUCCAGGCAGAACUGAGACUUGGCUAUCCUUUGACUUUAGCCACCCUCAGUGCUGGGAUUCAGGUCUAUACCAUCUAGAAAUCUCUUAAUUAUAUUUAUAAACAUAUCCCAAGUCCCUGCUAUCUACAGUUUUGAUUAGUUUAAUAUGUCUUAGUUUAUUGAUUAACUAUGUAGGAACAAGAUCUGAAAUAUAGAACCAGGUGUACUAGAGCAUGCCUGUAAUCCCAUCACUUGAGAGGCUGAGGCAGGAGGAUUGCUGCAAGUUUGAAGACAGCCUGGGCUACAUAGUGAGUUCAAGGCCAGCCUGAACUACACUGUGAAACCCUGACUCCAAAAAAAAAAGAUCUGUUUUUCAACAUACAUUUAUUGGGCACAACUACAUAUCAGGCCUUGUUUUAAGUACUAAGGAGAGAGGUUAUAACUGAACAAAAUAAACAAAAAGAACAACUCCCCCAAGGAGCAUACAUUCAAGCUUGGGUCAUACAGGAG